This 85-nucleotide transfer RNA is filed under the name Planctomycetaceae bacterium. Its description in RNAcentral is "tRNA-Ser". It matches the Rfam family "tRNA". Rfam says of the family: Transfer RNA (tRNA) molecules are approximately 80 nucleotides in length. Their secondary structure includes four short double-helical elements and three loops (D, anti-codon, and T loops). RNAcentral also lists the same sequence under 1 other name. The record is from RNAcentral. Lineage: Bacteria; Pseudomonadati; Planctomycetota; Planctomycetia; Planctomycetales; Planctomycetaceae.
GGAGAGGUGGCAGAGUGGCCGAUUGCACCGGUCUUGAAAACCGGCGUGCCGCAAGGUACCGGGAGUUCGAAUCUCCCCCUCUCCG